This 253-nucleotide ribosomal RNA is filed under the name uncultured bacterium. Its description in RNAcentral is "partial 16S ribosomal RNA". It matches the Rfam family "Bacterial small subunit ribosomal RNA", at positions 524 to 776 of the family's 1533-position model. The record is from RNAcentral.
UACGUAGGGUGCAAGCGUUAAUCGGAAUUACUGGGCGUAAAGCGUGCGCAGGCGGUUUUGCAAGACCGAUGGGAAAUCCCCGGGCUUAACCUGGGAAUGGCAUUGGUGACUGCACGGCUAGAGUGUGUCAGAGGGGGGUAGAAUUCCACGUGUAGCAGUGAAAUGCGUAGAGAUGUGGAGGAAUACCGAUGGCGAAGGCAGCCCCCUGGGAUAACACUGACGCUCAUGCACGAAAGCGUGGGGAGCAAACAGG